This 76-nucleotide transfer RNA is filed under the name Burkholderiales bacterium. Its description in RNAcentral is "tRNA-Thr". It matches the Rfam family "tRNA". From Rfam's summary of the family: Transfer RNA (tRNA) molecules are approximately 80 nucleotides in length. Their secondary structure includes four short double-helical elements and three loops (D, anti-codon, and T loops). Lineage: Bacteria; Pseudomonadati; Pseudomonadota; Betaproteobacteria; Burkholderiales. RNAcentral also lists the same sequence under 5 other names. The record is from RNAcentral.
GCCGGUGUAGCUCAGUUGGUAGAGCAGCGCAUUCGUAAUGCGAAGGUCGGGGGUUCAACUCCUCUCACCGGCACCA